AACGCAUAUUGCGCCCGAGGUUUCGGCCGAGGGCAUGUCUGGUCGAGCGCCACAAACUCUUGCGCCCCCCGUCCGCCGCUUGGGACAAUGGAGGUCUCGGGAUAGGGGUGGGACAUGCUCGUCUUGCGCCUCUGGUGCUGAGUCGAGUGAAAUGAACUGCCGUGGAAGGCCCCUACGGUUGGCAAAAUCCGACGUCGGUACGUAGGGUGCAAACCUUCCGCGCUGCGAAAUCGCGUCAAACUUGCAUGGAAGCUCAGGGUCGCUCCCGCGGUGCCAUCGCGGUGUCGUCGACGGGCGGCACGGCGUGUUGCUGUGCUGCGGAAGCGCCCUUUGUGGAAGUGCUUCAGCUGGCCUCGACUCAGGCAGGAUUACCCGCUGAAUUUAA
Molecule: unclassified non-coding RNA, 385 nt
Filed under: uncultured fungus
Lineage: Eukaryota; Fungi
Description: partial contains ITS1, 5.8S rRNA and ITS2
Source: RNAcentral